UCGAGGGGCAGCAUUUCAGUUUGCUUGCAAACUGGAGAUGGCGACCGGCGCACGGGUGAGUAACACGUAUCCAACCUGCCGAUAACUCGGGGAUAGCCUUUCGAAAGAAAGAUUAAUACCCGAUGGCAUAAUAAAACCGCAUGGUUUUUUUAUUAAAGAAUUUCGGUUAUCGAUGGGGAUGCGUUCCAUUAGGCAGUUGGUGAGGUAACGGCUCACCAAACCUUCGAUGGAUAGGGGUUCUGAGAGGAAGGUCCCCCACAUUGGAACUGAGACACGGUCCAAACUCCUACGGGAGGCAGCAGUGAGGAAUAUUGGUCAAUGGGCGCAGGCCUGAACCAGCCAAGUAGCGUGAAGGAUGACUGCCCUAUGGGUUGUAAACUUCUUUUAUAUGGGAAUAAAGUUUUCCACGUGUGGAAUUUUGUAUGUACCAUAUGAAUAAGGAUCGGCUAACUCCGUGCCAGCAGCCGCGGUAAUACGGAGGAUCCGAGCGUUAUCCGGAUUUAUUGGGUUUAAAGGGAGCGUAGGUGGACAGUUAAGUCAGUUGUGAAAGUUUGCGGCUCAACCGUAAAAUUGCAGUUGAUACUGGCUGUCUUGAGUACAGUAGAGGUGGGCGGAAUUCGUGGUGUAGCGGUGAAAUGCUUAGAUAUCACGAAGAACUCCGAUUGCGAAGGCAGCUCACUGGACUGCAACUGACACUGAUGCUCGAAAGUGUGGGUAUCAAACAGGAUUAGAUACCCUGGUAGUCCACACAGUAAACGAUGAAUACUCGCUGUUUGCGAUAUACAGUAAGCGGCCAAGCGAAAGCAUUAAGUAUUCCACCUGGGGAGUACGCCGGCAACGGUGAAACUCAAAGGAAUUGACGGGGGCCCNGCACAAGCGGAGGAACAUGUGGUUUAAUUCGAUGAUACGCGAGGAACCUUACCCGGGCUUAAAUUGCAUUUGAAUAUAUUGGAAACAGUAUAGCCGUAAGGCAAAUGUGAAGGUGCUGCAUGGUUGUCGUCAGCUCGUGCCGUGAGGUGUCGGCUUAAGUGCCAUAACGAGCGCAACCCUUAUCUUUAGUUACUAACAGGUCAUGCUGAGGACUCUAGAGAGACUGCCGUCGUAAGAUGUGAGGAAGGUGGGGAUGACGUCAAAUCAGCACGGCCCUUACGUCCGGGGCUACACACGUGUUACAAUGGGGGGUACAGAAGGCAGCUACCUGGUGACAGGAUGCUAAUCCCAAAAGCCUCUCUCAGUUCGGAUCGAAGUCUGCAACCCGACUUCGUGAAGCUGGAUUCGCUAGUAAUCGCGCAUCAGCCAUGGCGCGGUGAAUACGUUCCCGGGCCUUGUACACACCGCCCGUCAAGCCAUGAAAGCCGGGGGUACCUGAAGUACGUAACCGCAAGGAG
RNAcentral lists this ribosomal RNA (1388 nucleotides) under uncultured bacterium. RNAcentral's name for it is "16S ribosomal RNA". It matches the Rfam family "Bacterial small subunit ribosomal RNA". The record is from RNAcentral.